Molecule: ribosomal RNA, 253 nt
Filed under: uncultured bacterium
Lineage: Bacteria
Description: partial 16S ribosomal RNA
Rfam family: Bacterial small subunit ribosomal RNA
Source: RNAcentral
UACAGAGACUGCAAGCGUUAUUCGGAUUCCCUGGGCGUAAAGGGUGCGCAGGCGGCCAGGUGUGUUAGGCGUGAAAGCCCGGGGCUUAACCCCGGAAUUGCACCUAAAACUACUUGGCUAGAGCAUUGGAGAGGGUAGCGGAAUUCACGGUGUAGCAGUGAAAUGCGUAGAUAUCAGGAGGAACACCGGUGGCGAAGGCGGGGUCCUGGGCCAGUACUGACGCUGAGGAGCGAAAGCGUGGGGAGCAAACAGG